AACCAGCAACCUUCAUUUGUGAUAUGUUUCGUGUUUCAUCAUUUUAUAUAAAACUGCUCUCGUAAUGUCCAGCCACCGACCACCACAUGAUAGCUCGCCAUUGGCUCAACGGCGACACCACGGAUCGCCCUCGUGCAAUCCGAGUGCGACCGUUUUGUCCAAUCCCAUUGCGCCAUGUGGUUGGAGCUAAAAUGCAAAAAAAAAAGAAGCACAAGUGCUCCAGUUAACC
RNAcentral lists this long non-coding RNA (229 nucleotides) under Setaria italica (foxtail millet). RNAcentral describes it as "long non-coding RNA (SITA_LNC005679)". The record is from RNAcentral. Lineage: Eukaryota; Viridiplantae; Streptophyta; Magnoliopsida; Poales; Poaceae.